GCGGAUGUAGCUCAGUGGUAGAGCAGUGGGUUUCCACCCCAUGUGCGCGGGUUCAAUUCCCGCUUUCCGCUCCA
This 74-nucleotide transfer RNA is filed under the name Rhizobium sp. Root1240. RNAcentral describes it as "tRNA-Gly". It matches the Rfam family "tRNA". Rfam says of the family: Transfer RNA (tRNA) molecules are approximately 80 nucleotides in length. The record is from RNAcentral. RNAcentral also lists the same sequence under 2 other names. Lineage: Bacteria; Pseudomonadati; Pseudomonadota; Alphaproteobacteria; Hyphomicrobiales; Rhizobiaceae.